UGGGGGACAAGUUGGAUACACAGGCUGAAAACCCAGUCAGGUUGGAAACAAAGCAGCUGUAUUAGUUCUGGGUAGGUCAGCUUGUCAUUUUUAA
Molecule: signal recognition particle RNA, 94 nt
Filed under: Candidatus Hepatincola sp. Av
Lineage: Bacteria; Pseudomonadati; Pseudomonadota; Alphaproteobacteria; Rhodospirillales; Candidatus Hepatincolaceae
Description: Bacteria_small_SRP
Rfam family: Bacterial small signal recognition particle RNA
About the family: The signal recognition particle (SRP) is a universally conserved ribonucleoprotein involved in the co-translational targeting of proteins to membranes. Archaeal SRP consists of a 7S RNA and homologues of the eukaryotic SRP19 and SRP54 proteins.
Source: RNAcentral